RNAcentral lists this small RNA (2522 nucleotides) under Mytilus galloprovincialis (Mediterranean mussel). The record is from RNAcentral. Lineage: Eukaryota; Metazoa; Mollusca; Bivalvia; Mytilida; Mytilidae.
AUGCCAAAACGCAAAGUUUCGUACCUAAAAAGGUCGAUUUUCUGGCCCUGUGGUGACUGCAGACAGAACUGCUCCAAGAACUCAGUACAGUGUGACUCUUGCAAUUCAUGGUACCACUAUGACUGUCAACAGUUAUCAUUACAAGACGUCGAUUUCUUGGUAACAUCCAGCUGUUCUACGUUCUGUUGUUUGACCUGUUUGAAAGAAGAAGUAGGGUCAACCUACUCUUAUUCAUCUGGCUUACUUCGUCUUAAUUUGGUAAUUUAAUGUUUUAAUAUUAAAAAUAUUAUUGCGGCAUAUUUGCACAUUUUUUGUAAAUUUUUGUUUCGUACACUGAAUUUCUUAAUCUGUUGAAUCGGUUUAAUCUAUUUAUUACUUACGCGUGUCAGGAUUUGUUAAUUCAAAUGUUUAAUACUUAAUUGUUAAUUGCGAUUUAUGAUAAGUGAUUGAUUAUCACAUUUAACAUAUUUAUCAACGACGCGUGUCAAGUUUUUGAAAUUCAUCUUUCUUAUUAAGUUACGGAAUAUAAUAUGUUUAUGAAAUUUACAAUUUGGUAAUUUUAUAUUUUAAAUUUGACGUUGAAUUUGUUUUCUAUUUAUCACCGAGGCGUGGAAGGCUUUAUUAAUUCAAAAUGUAUAUAGCACAAUACUUAAUUGUUAAUUGCAAUUAAUCAUGGAUUAUCACCUUUAACAUAUUUAUCAACGUCCGACGCGUGUCAAGUUUUGUUAAUUCAUUUUUCUUAUUAUUUAAGUUACGGAAUAUAAUAUGUUUAUGAAAUUUACAAUUUGGUAAUUUUAUAUUUUAAAUAUUGACAUCGAAUUGGUUUUCAAUAUAUCACCGACGCGAUUAUUCAUGUUAAGUGGUGGAUUAACAUAUUUAUCACCGACACGUGUCAAGCUAUAUUUGGUUUUUUUUCUGUAUCAAUCUUAUAUCAUUACUUGCAAAACCUUUUGGAACUUAAUCUUAAUGGGGGGGGGAUGAAAUUAGGGUAAUUAAGUGAACAACAAUGAUAGAUCUUUUUGAAAAUAUUGAUGGUCCUUAAAAGGACCUUUGUAAAAUCCAUCAAGUUGAUAUUACUCAAUUUUUUCUUCAUCCUCAUCGCUGCUCAAUUCUGGUAGGUUGUCGAGGGCGUCUUCCAUUUGCCUGUCCUCCAAUUGGUCAAUUUCGUUAACCACCUUUAAUUUUCUAUACUGGUCACUUAGAACAUAGGUUUCAUUUGACAAUCUCUUCAAUUCUAACAUGCACUCAAUUUGUUCAUUGCGAUCUGUUCGCAUUGAAUAUUCAAUAGUUUGUAAAAUUCUUCACAAUAGAUAACUCACUGGAGUUUUUCCAAUAGAGUACGGUUGUUGACAAGUCCAUCGUUUUUUAAGACUGAUGACACUAUAUAUUAAGAUUCGAUAUUUAUUACAAACAUUGGAAUUUUGAGUAAACAAAUACAGCCUGUACAACAAAUUAUUCACAACAAGAAUCAAGUACCAGCAAUAGUGUGUUACACGGAAAACCAAAUAACAGAUUUGAGACAUUUUCUUGCACAAAAGUCCGAGCAUCCUCUUGGUGUUGAUAGAACAUUCAAUCUCAGAAGUUUUUAUGUCACAUCCAUUGUUUACAAGAACCUGCGGGUAAACAGAAAAGAAACAAAAGACCAUCCAAUCUUUGCAGGACCAAUGCUUCUACACAAGGAUGCGUCAUACAAAACAUACAGAGCCUUCUUUUCAAACAUUUCUGCCACACUUGAACUACCCAUUAAUAAUGUAGAACUUCGUCUCCAUGAGAAUAUAGAGUUUGGCAGUGAUGACGAAAAAGCUAUGACCAAGGCGAUAGAAAAUGCAUUCCCAACCGCCAAACGAAGAUUGUGCACAAAACAUUUAAAGGACAAUGUACAACAUUACCUUCAAGUCCGUGUUGGUGUUAGCACCCAAGAAAGAAAAACCAUCAUCAACACAAUUUUUGGAGAUCAAGGAAUUGCAAGCGCAGACGACACAUUGCAAUUUGCAAGGGCAGAUUCGGAGCUCAAGGACUUGUGCGCAAAUCAUCCUCAGUUCCUGAAAUAUUACGAACAAAGUUUUAAGCCACGAGUUCAAGAAUUCGUUAAUGCACCCAAUAGACGUUUGGGCACUAAGCAAAUGUGGACGAACAACAAUGCAGAAUCCAUGAACCGGGUGAUGAAAGUGGCAGUCAACUGGAAGCCCCAACAUGCACCAGAUUUGGUUGAUAAACUAUUUGACAUGGUGGACUUCCAGUUCAUUAAUCUUCGGUCAGCCCUUCAUCAUUCUGGGGACUACAUGCUGGUCAACUCAUACAAACAGUACACUAUAGCUGAUGCCAUCUGGAAAACAAAAUCAGACGAGGAAAAACGAAAACUCUUUAAUAGUUUCCUACAGGACAAUAAGAAAAGAAAACACGAAAAUAUCAUAACUUCAUCCGAUGGACUCUACUCUGUUGUCAACAAGGCUAAGUCAAUAGCCAAGAAACCUAUGCAGAGAAAGAGACCAAGAACAGAAAGAGCCGAAAAAAGACAUUAA